Aegilops tauschii subsp. strangulata is the source of this 1531-nucleotide long non-coding RNA. RefSeq lists it as uncharacterized. The record is from RefSeq and is a predicted model, not a curated record. NCBI's taxonomy places the organism in Eukaryota, Viridiplantae, Streptophyta, Magnoliopsida, Poales, Poaceae.
CCCAAUCCCAUCACCACCACCAUCUUCUCCCCGGUGCCCAGCCCCCGUCUUCCCUCCUCUACUUCCUCUUAUCGUGUGCAGCUCGCGAGUCUCAGCGAGUAAGGCCGCCGGAUACGCGGCCAGCCUUUGUGAACGCGGCCUCUGACGUUGUCUUCGCCAUGAUCGGCAACCUAGGCGACGUCCGCGCUAUCGUCGGCAGCGUUCUGGCGGCGGACCGCCCACAAGGUGCACGGAGUGAGGUGCGUGCAGAUCAUGGUGGCGGCCAUGAACACCGAUGGCGGACGGGCACGUAAUAUCCGGACGAUUGCUGCUAGCGGACCCCACCGACGCCAACGAUCUCCGGAAGCGAGCAACCGUCAUCGCUCUCCAUCUCCCCUCCACGUGGAGCCAUCAACGACAGCCUGUGAGGAGUGCGCGCGAAGGCCACACGCGGCAGGACUCCGUGCAGCGAUGUUGCGGUGGCUCCUAUACUCGCUACGGCCGUCCUCGUGGCCACCGCCGCAAAUCCAUACGUCGUGCUGUACACACCCAUGACCACCCCCGUCGGGGGUCGGCCGCGAGUUCUUCCGCUUUUGGCCAGGGCGGGGGAGACUACGGUGGAGGCAUGAGCAACGGUAGUAGGGGUAGAGGCUGCGGUGCCGGUGGAAGAGGAGGUGGCAACGGGAGUGAGGGUGUGGACUUGCUCUCCGUUUCCUGUUUCCAUGGCGGGCCGUACUCUGCGUGGUGCUCGGUACCCUGGCCGGCCGCUGCCAUUUUGUUCUUCAGUUUGUGGACACUCACCGUCUCCUGGCGCUGGCCGUCAUAUACGGGUGCUCUGUGAUUGGUUCGUCAUCUGCUGAUUCCGCUUCUUCUGGUCUUGUGGUCUCUUGCCUGAUUUGGGUCCUGGGUAUAACCAAGUUUGCAUGGAUGCAACAUGAGGGACAAAGUUGAAACUGUGUACUUUAUGAUAGACUUGGUACUCCAUCUUAAGUAAGCCUACAUAACACACUCGAUAACUUGUCUAGCGAUCCAGCUUUUCCGCUUACAGUCACUGUAAGCUGAUAGAUGUAUGACACGAUGUCCAGCGCGCGAUUUUGGCCGUCUGUCGCCGCCGGUACACAUCUCUCACCCAUCCUCUAUCUCCGUCCUCCCUGUUCUACAUCCCCUUCUGACAAAUGCUUCGCCAAAGCGGCUUUCCCGCCGUCUCCUUUCAGGAAAACGGUUGCACACCGUGGCGCGGCUGCCCGCAUUGGCGACGGUCUGUUAGGAUUCACCUGUGCGCCUCCUCUAUGGGUGUAUUAGCAUGCCCUAAUGCCAGUCCGCUGGAGGAUCACCUGAGCAUGAAAAAUAUCAUGUCAACGUCGAAAGUAGUUUGGUAUCAUGUAUCUUCAGCUUCUACUAUUAGGCUUGGUAUCCACCUUCAAAGAAGUGUUUGUGUUGUUUAUCGUAUGGAAGGAAAACCUCCCAAACUUAUCGUUUUAUUUCCCUUUUCAGUGUCAAUGUAUGUUUACCUUUCCUAAAUGGCAGGAAUAGAUUUCCUUUCGUAACUGCA